UACAGAGCGGCGAGAGACAGCCAGAGCCAACAGGAACGGAGUGAGAGGUUCUCCGACCAAUGGGAGUCUAGGGAGAGGAGACGGGAGCCAAUGAGGUCUCCGCGUCCCACCACUGGGGCGAGAUGGUCAAGUGUGGGAGGCAAGUUGGUCCCCACUUGGGACUCUGUCCGGUUGCCUAGCAACCGAGCCGGGCUUCUGUAAGAUUUUUGAAAUACCUUCUUUGAAUUCAAUCUUAACGUUUUCUAGUUUCCAGAGAAGCCAAGCGCGCCUACCUUACAAGUUGAAGCAGGAUGUCACUCAGAAUUUGUAAAUGUGUAAAUAUUCUAAACACCCUAUUUGAUGGUCUUCCCAGUAGGAGUGAAGAUAAGCCAAGGCCAUGAAACUACCAAUGAACUUUACCCACGCCACAUUAAGACUGGCUUUGCCAAUGGCUCAAGAAUACUUGAUACAUAAUCCACUCCUAAUCGCUUCUUCUGUGACUCAUUCUUAAUUAGACAUGGUUUGCAUUUGUA
Molecule: long non-coding RNA, 512 nt
Organism: Hyaena hyaena (striped hyena)
Lineage: Eukaryota; Metazoa; Chordata; Mammalia; Carnivora; Hyaenidae
Exons: 2
Source: RefSeq, a predicted model, not a curated record